Long non-coding RNA from Hirundo rustica (Barn swallow), 6083 nucleotides. RefSeq lists it as uncharacterized. The record is from RefSeq and is a predicted model, not a curated record. The transcript is spliced from 3 exons. Lineage: Eukaryota; Metazoa; Chordata; Aves; Passeriformes; Hirundinidae.
GUUGCCGGGCUGCGGCCCCGGCAGCCGCGGGGAGCCGGGGCGGGGCUGCCCCUGAGGGAGGGCCUGAGGGUCAGAGCCCACCCGGGCCGCCCUGAGCCCUGACAGCCGGCGCGAACGGGGUGAAUCACGGAAUGGUCGGGGUUGGAGUGACCUCUGGAGAUCACUCAGUCCAUCCCCCUGCCCUGGCAAUGUCACCCGGAGCAGUGACACGGGGACGUGUCCAGGACUUCUGUGAGGCUUUGAUGGACUUCGUGGGUAUCUGCCAAUGUGUCAUUCCCAUGGCUGUUCCCGGCUAGUUUGAUGGGAUCUGUGCCCAUUACUCCUUGUCCUGUCACUACAGUACCUGAGUUCCUGACAGAGUCCUCCUCCAUCUUUCCUGUAGCCCCUUCAGACUAUGGAAGGUGCUCUGAGGUCUCCACACCACCUUUUCUUCUUCAGGAAGAAGACAACUUUCUCAGCCUGUCUUCAAAGGGGAGGUGCUCCAGUCCUCUUAUCAAUGUUGUGACCUCCUCUGGACUUGUUCCAACAAUUCCACAACAAUCCUUCUGAUGUGGGGGACACAAGAACUGGACACAGGACUGCAGGUGGGGUCUCACCAGAGCAGAGGUAGAAAAUCUCCUUGGACCUGCUGCCCCUGUUCCUUUUGAUGGAGGCCAGGACAGGGUUGGUUUCUGAGCUGUGAGUGCUCACUGCCGGUUCACGUUGAAUUUUCCAUCAGCUGUGACCCCCAGGUCUUUCUCCACAGGGCUGCUCAGUGCCUUCCCCACCCAACCCUUAGCUGUGUCUGGGAUUGCCCCAGUGCAGAUGCAGGACCUUGCACCUGGCUUUGCUGAACUUCACGAAGUUCCCACCAGCCCCACCUCUCAGGCCUGCCAAGGUCCCUUGCCAUGGGGUGUGACAGACCACAGCUGUGGCGCUGCAAGCUGACUUGAGCUCUGCACAACAGGGACCAGGAGUGGCCUUUGGUUCAGAUCAACAGCUGAGUGGAUCAACUGGUGGUUUAAAUACCUCCCCGAGUUACACCCGGAAGGGGAAUUAAUCGUUAUCCCCUCCACAUCUGGGAUGGCUAAAAGAACCUGGGCAGAGAGCACUGGACUCUGACACAUCAUAUAGGAUGUGAUGAAAUCCAGGAGAGCAUUUCCUUAACCCCUACCACAGCUAUUAACCUUGUACCUUACCUAUAAAAUCCUGCUAUGCAAAGUUUUGUUUCACAGAGGCACUCUGUCAAGCCUCUCAGAACAGAUUCCAGUUUUAGAAGCAUGUAGAAAGUGCAUCAGCCUGUUCCUCACCCCAAAAGCCCUCUGCCCAACAUAGCAGCAUUCAGGAGGGUGGCACAUCUGAACCAUGAACUUGCUCCCAGUGCAGCAGCUGAUUGUAUCGGGUGUUGAGAAGACAGCAUUGCUUUUAUGGAAUUCCAGGCUUUUUUCUCAAAUACAUCAAUGCAGUAUUGGAAGAAAAAGAAUGGAAUUAGUGAGAUGAAAGUACAUACAGAAAAUGCCACCAUGACAAGCAGUCUCCAACAGUGUUUGCAACUUAAGGAGAGGGUGUGUAAGAAGCUCCCACAGCCUAAAGGUCACUGAUGUGGACUGGUUAGCACAGGAACAAAACACUUAACAUUCCCUGUGCCUUCAUCCAUGGAGAAAACAUGGUCUUUCAUUUCCACAGCUCCUUUAUACAGUGCUGGCUGUCAAACAUUGCAGUGACACACUGCCCCACUGACCUCCCCUUGUCCAUAAACGCCGCUGCUCACUGCUUCUCACAGGUGGAAUUGUGAUGUCUGACACUGGUUGGUUCCAGAUCAAAGUCAUCGUCCUCUAAAAAUGAAUUAUGGAUCCAAGGAGAUCCAACAGAGGCACUGAGGUAAGAAAAGCUGUAUUUGUGAGAACUCAGAAGUAAGACAAAAAAGUUUCUGCUUGCAUACUCUUAAAGAAUGGAAGCCCAUCCUCUCCACAAAAAAUAGGUCCUCCCACACAGUGACACAUGACACCACGCAUCUGUCAUUUUAAGGCAGCUCAGCCCAACCUAGACUAUUCAAAGGAGAAUAGAUCAGGGAAGAGGAAACCUGCAGGAGAAACCAAGAACCCAGUGCUUGCAGGGUAGCAAAAAGAUGAUGCAGGAAUGUGAUAUUAUGACACAAAUGUCAUUUGCUAAAGGAUCACACAGGCGAAAGAGCUGACGGCCCAGGGGACAGAGCACAUACAAAGCUACAGCGUAUGAUGUUGGUGUACACAGGAGGAAGUGCUUUAUCUUCUAGUGAAAAAUAAAAACUUUAAAGAUGUCAGAUUUGACAAACUGGUUUAAUCUACAGCAUCUCUGCAUACGGCCAGCCUACCUUGUUGCAGUGUCAAAUUCUUAGAUAAUACAGCUUUGGGGUGACUUUGGAGGAUUCUUCAGGAAAUGAAGAUACCUCCUUACCCAUUCUGAUCUUUUGGAGGAGCCAUGCAAAAUUUUAUAUAUUGCUGCUGUAAGUGCCUCAGUACUGAACCAUCCCUCUGCAGUUCUGAAGGACAAGCUUUGUGCAGGGAAUGCCCACAGGGUUCAUCUUGUUCUUGCCUCCCAUCCCCACAGAACAAUCCAUCCAGGUUAUUGCUGCAGACAUGUGGCCCUCACAUGGGUCAGUUUGCAGGACUGAGACCAAAAAGCAUAAAUGGAAAUGAAAUCAACCAAAGCAAAAAGAAAUUAGCCCUUAGUGCGUAUUUAGUUACAAAAAUCAGUGGCAAGUAGGAAAAGGAUGCAGAUCUCCCAGUUACAUUAUGGGGUGCUCAUUAAACACUGAAAAAAAAAAAAAAAAAAGCUGGGUAGUCACCCUUUUUCAUUCAAGCACAAUUAAACCCCCUCUAUUCCAUCACAGUGUGUACAAAAUCACAUACAGUUAAAUAAGCAACUGAAAGCGUGAAUGAGAUUCUAAUAUACAGUACUUUCACACAGCCAAAGCUAUUUUAUUUUACAAGACGGGGCUUUUGCAUUCAUCUUCUCUCCAGAAAGCCCAGAAAAAACAGCAUAAACUACUUAAGCAAAAUUUAAGAGACAACUUACAAAGUAAAAUUUGCAUAGCGCUGUAAAUCCAUGUAUUCGUUUGGGCACAGUUCUCCAUAAAAACUACAGUAGGUGACAGGGUCGGGUUUUCUUAAUAGCUUCUUGUUUCUCACCAGACUCAGACACGCUUCUUCUGAGCGUCAUAAAAUCAAGUGUAGGAAAUAACUGUAAAAACGUACAAAAAAUAUAUACACAUGCACAGUAAAUGCAUACCCUGUAUACAGUUUUAUUACUCGUUAGAUUUGGCUAAUAACGAUCAUCUGGUGACUCACGCUUCCCUCCGAAUGACAGGUUUGCAACACAUCAAUCAGCUUAAGGAGGGCGAGUCUCCUCAGGGAGAAGGUUUUGAUUAAAGCUACAGUACUUGCUGGUGAUCUGAGGAGUGAGCGAGGCGCCGGCCGGCAGCGGCCGCCGGGCGUUCAGGCGAGCUCAGAUGUCACAAGGGACAGCUCGGACACAGCUGAAGCGAAGGGACACAGCUUGGCUCUCUGCACAGAUGCACAUGCACGGGGAUAAAGGAGGUACAGGGAACCCGCUCAUGCCUCGGGGUGUGAAAUUUAAUUCCUGAUUAGGCUCUGCUGCCUACUCUUCCUUCCUUCGCAAAUUGUAUUUUAGUAAUUAGUAACUCGGUGCGUUUCCCUUAAGAAUGCACGCUGGCCAAAAUGAAAAAGUUGGGUAAGACUGAAAAUUGGUAGCCCCCACGCUUAGGAAUACUUCUAAUUUAAAAUUUAAAAGAACUAUUAUAUCCUGAUUGCUGCUGAAGUGUCUAAUUUUAAAAUGGAUUUUUCUCCUAAAAAGAUAAAAUGCUAGUGGUUUUUAGAAAUAGCCUAUCUGCACUCAAGUGCUCUCAAUAGUGAAAGCGCACAAAUAAUCUUUCUUUACAGUUUCAAAAACCGAGCAGUGGCUGGUAACUACAGGUGUAACAUUUUAAGAAAUACAAGCAGCUUUCUAAAAGCCUAGAGAGGCCAAGGAUCAGAAAAACACAUAUUUGCCUUAGAUGCCAAUCCCAUGUCUUCCCAGUUCUGAAGUAUGACAUACUUUCAUGGCUUUUUCUGGUGGCUAACACAUGUGGCAGAGACCCUGUGAUGCUGACUUCCAGAAUGUUCUCACCCCAAACCACAGCAGGUAAAUAACACACACAACCAACAGCCUGCAAGCAUCUUGCUGCAGAGACAAUCAGAUAAACCAGCCUUAAAGAUAAACAGGGCAGAAUGAGAGUCCCCAUCUGACACAAGGAAGAAUUCUGGCCCAAAUCACAUGGACAUGACAAGGGUUAUUCUGUAAGUUGUCACAGGGAGGUCUCACAUCCACAUUAGAGUCAGAGCUUGCCUCUCACCUAGCUGCCUCUGCUUUGCAAAGCUCCUGGUGAUCACUCAGUUUUCUCAGAGCAAGAAUUUGGCUGGACCUGUCAGUGUUCCUGCUCCUCCCAGCGAUGCACCUUGCCAUGUUUCUUCCCCCUCACAGCUCCCAGCACAGCUGUCACCUGCUUCAAAUCCCAGCUUCACUCAGCACCAGCAGCCCUGGACCCGCCUGUUAUGAUCAGAAGGUUCAGGAAUACAGGAACAAGCAGCUGUGACACAGUGGGUGGGAGUACAAAUUCAGCAUUCCCAUCACAGGGAUGAGCUUCUUUGUGCAGGCAUACAGCAGAACUUGCAGCAAUCUUCUGCUGGGAAUCAGAACCUUCAUACCAGGGGACAGAAGCACAUGGCAUCCAGGAGGUGCUGUGAGCUAUCCUGCUGCAUCCCAUCUUCAAAGGAGAUCAAGGAAUGGAUUCUUCACUUUGAUCUGUGUUGGCCUCCAGCACCUGCAUGAAACACUUGGGCGAGGUCUGCCCAAGCCUGGCUUUAGACUUCUUAGCAAAUACUUCUCCAAGAGGCCAAAAUACAUCAGAUUGUCUGUCUUCAAUCUGAAACACUCUGUGUUAUGUGAAGUCAGCAUUAUUAAAAGCCUCCAACCCCACAUUUCUUCAAAAGGUUUAUGAAGCAAAACCAGGUUUUAGGGGAGUCCCAAAACAGUACUUUCAGCAAGUAUCUGAUGGACAGUGACUUCCUUGCUUUCUCAUUAUUCCAACUCUUAGUAAAAACCUUGUCCCAACUCCCCUUCACCAGAAGGACCUGUUGCCAGGUAGAGAGGGCCUGUGUGAACAGGCCUGGCAUGGUCUUCUCUCCCCUGCUAGAAGUUUUGAUUUGAAGCAGCAAAGUUGCAUCAUCACGUAACACAAGCACAACCCUGUCACUUCAGACCUAGAGCUGUCCACCAGUGCCAAAAUUCAGGAAGACAAAACCCCCAGCCAUGUGAGACAACUGCUGUAGGACUGGCUGAGCUGGAAAGCUCCGAGUUCCUGCUAAGAGGUUGCAGCCAGCCCAUCUGCAGAAGAUACAGGUGAGCAAAUAUACAGACAUCGGUGAUGGAGACAAGAGGUACCACGUGGAAGUGAGCAGACGCACUCACUUCUCCUGUGAAUACCAGGCAAUUAGGACACAGGCAGCAGUCAGAUUCAUUGGUCAGCAAUUAAGUGUAGAGCCCUUCGAGAUAAGUUAAAGGAGAACAAAGGAACAUUGCCCAUGCUCUUUGUGCCAGAGACAGAUAUUUUGCUCAGUGAUGCAAAGUCAAUUGCAAGAGCACAUUCAGCCCACAAUGAGCAAAAGAGAACUGUAAUCCUAUCGAGCCAAGGCCUCUGGAUACCAUGUCCUUCUUCAGCAUCAGCUCUUUGUGCCUUCCUAACUCAGAGGUGCCACGUGGCAGCAAGUCCCCGAGCUCUCUCACCAGGUUCUCAGAUGUAGGUCAACGUGAUGCUACUUUGAAACUGCAAAUCCCACUUGAAGAGCAGCAUCAUUGCUGUCGGUGACAAUGACAAGUGCUGCCAACGCCAAGAGCAUACUUCUAUCAUCUGUUCACAUUGGUCUGAGAACCAUUCCUCUUCGGAGUCAAUACUGAUGACCAUGGCAGUCAGCUUGCAAGUCCAUACUGGAAAACUCUAUUUACUCCAAACAAAUAAGCAGUAAAUGAAAAUUCUUAGAAGUGGAGAGAAAAAAAAACACUCCCAU